Molecule: ribosomal RNA, 461 nt
Filed under: uncultured bacterium
Lineage: Bacteria
Description: bacterial SSU rRNA
Rfam family: Bacterial small subunit ribosomal RNA
Source: RNAcentral
CGCUGGCGGCGCGCCUAACACAUGCAAGUCGAACGAGCGAGAGAGAGCUUGCUUUCUCGAGCGAGUGGCGAACGGGUGAGUAACGCGUGAGGAACCUGCCUCAAAGAGGGGGGACAACAGUUGGAAACGACUGCUAAUACCGCAUAAGCCCACGACCCGGCAUCGGGUAGAGGGAAAAGGAGCAAUCCGCUUUGAGAUGGCCUCGCGUCCGAUUAGCUAGUUGGUGAGGUAACGGCCCACCAAGGCGACGAUCGGUAGCCGGACUGAGAGGUUGAACGGCCACAUUGGGACUGAGACACGGCCCAGACUCCUACGGGAGGCAGCAGUGGGGAAUAUUGCACAAUGGGGGAAACCCUGAUGCAGCGACGCCGCGUGGAGGAAGAAGGUCUUCGGAUUGUAAACUCCUGUUGUUGAGGAAGAUAAUGACGGUACUCAACAAGGAAGUGACGGCUAACUACGUG